GUGGUAAAAAAGAGAGUCCAAUAGCAUCAACGUAGAAAUAGCGUAGAACAACUCAAAUCGGUUCAAAUCGUCGUUAGAAGGGCAAAGGGACAUUUUGUAGAUUACUGGGCAAGGUCGAGGGAUUACAAAAGAAACUAAAAUGGUGCACACGAACAUCCCACAAUCCGUCAUAAAGGCAGCCUACCAGGACGUCAGGAAGGGUAAGACUGGAGCCACGAUGUCCGAUAAUCAGCAGAACUCGCCGAAGAAGGGCGACAAGUACAAUUCCUGGGGUCCGAUCUUCAAGAACAAGCAAAGCUUCAUCGACAUGCACAUUUGCUGACGCGUGGCUUCAAAGGGAACGCGACAUCCGGCGAUAUCGCGGUUUAAUGGUUGCAGGCGCCAUUCGUUUUGAAAAUAAUCGCGUAUCGAGGAUCCGAGAACUUCUCUCGUGGCGAGAUUUAAAUUAGAAUGGCGUCUGUAAUACAAACUUGGUCGGUGGGGUAACUCGUGGUAAUUCAACAAUGUUAACAAAUAAGAUUUUCGUACGAAUAAAGAUGUGCGCCAUUGCGAUUGGAGGGUGUUGAUUGUAUCUCGACGAAUUGACACGAUUACGAGUGGAUAGAGAUCGAUUAUGAAAUUCUACCAUUUUUACGAUAGUAAUUUUAGUAAUUGGAUGAAAUUAAAUUCAUUUUAAAUUCGUUCGAUUCGAUUCAGUCGUUUCGUUGUAAUUCGUUUAGCUCGAUUCGAUACGAUUUUUGUUACGAUUAAUGAGAGAUAAUUCGACUGGUAGGAAUUUUAGCCGCGAUUUCCGGUCGAAGAGAAUGUUAACCCGAGGCACCGACGAGUCACUAUAGUGGAAAAAAAAAGUAAAUCGUGGACUAGUUCCGGCGGAUACGCAUCCCACGACGGAACAAAGACGAAGAACUCGGAAAAAAUAGCUCGACUGGAUGUCUGAGCAGACACUUGGGAUGCGACGCGUUGUAAUGAAUGUAUAACAAUUAUCACCCUGUCGACACUUAGAUGAAGUAUCACACGAGAAGAUUCUUUAUAGUUUUGUGUACGUGUACACUGUACACCUUGCAGGCUUGUACACUUUAUUUCGAAUGGUCUCGUAUUUCCUCUCGAAGCAUUCCAGUGGAUUCUUCCGUCACGAUCAGACAAGUCUGAAUCCACUCUGAGUCAGAACCUCUAUUGAAUGGAAUUGAAUGAACUCACUUUGAAGCACGUCAGAUGGAUCCUCUAUCGACAAAAUAAUCAUGCCGAUUUUAUUUUUUUACUAUUCUUCUUGUGGUUUAUUCAUCUAUGCUUCAAUUUAGUGCCAAAGUAGAUGCAAAUAGUAAGUACUGGAAUAGAAUAAUAAGGCAUACUGCUUCUUUGGAAAAGAAGCAUCAGGUAUUUUCGACAUUUUUGUGUACACCUUGCAGGCUUGUACACUUUACUUCGAAUGGUCUCGUAUUUCCUCGUGAAGCAUUUCAGUGGAUUAUUCCGCCAUGGUCAGACCACGUCUGAAUCCACUUUGAGUCAGACAGACUGUAUUUCGAAAUUUUCCAUCGAAACAUUCAGAGUUAAUAAAAAUAAACAAGAAAGAAGAUAAACACCUCAGAAACGAUCAAAGAUUCCUGGAUACUCAACUCUUGGAAAACCUACGAAGAAAUAUAAAAAAAGCUCAAGAAGAAACCGAAAAAAAAAUGUUCAGAAAAUGCUUGAAAAUUCAUUGUCGACAUCGAAGAUUUUCUAGAACCAUCAAAACGUUAAGAAACAAGAUAGACACCUCAUAAAUGAUCAAAGAUUCCUGGAUACUCAACUCUUGGAAAACCUACGAAGAAAUAUAAAAAAAAAGCUCGAGAAGAAACCGAAAGAAAAUGUUCAGAAAAUGCUUAAAAAUUCACUGUCGACGUCGAAGAUUUUCUAAAACCAUCAGAACGUUAAAAAUAACCAGGAGAACCCUCGGCAACAUCUGAACCCGCCCAUCUCCAAUAUCCAAACCAUAAAAUGAGCAAAUUCAUCGUUCGAAAUAAUCAGCGAGCACCACCAGUACACCUCGAAAACGAUGAAACUCCUGGAAAGCCCGUAAAGUAUAUCGAAAUCUCAUCGCCUCCCAAACUCGGAGAAAAUAGUAGGGGAAAGUCUGGGCGGUGGGGAAAGCAGCCGCGCGGAAGGGUACAAAAAAAAGCUCCAGUGCGAGAGGUUCGCGGUGUCUCGGGGUAGAACGAGCGCAAGCAGUCGUUGAAAGCGCGUCGACUUGGACGGUCCUCUGUGGGUUGGAGGGUCGGGGGAGGAGCAGCGUCGAACUCGCACCUCGUGCACGACCCCCCGCGCCUUUUCAUUUACCUCUUAUUAUUUUUUUAUUUAUUUAUUUAUUCGAUUCGUGGGCAUUCGCCGCGUGGGAAGUAUUUAUUUUCGAAGAAUCGUGUGCGACGCCACGAAGAAGAGGACGAAGACGAGGACGAAGAAAGGAAAAGUGUCGUUGCACCGUGGAACGCGAGAUACCCGAGAGUCGACGUCCCGACGCUGCUAUUUCGAGGCUGAAACACACCGGUGAGCUUUUGUCCUAACGGCGACAGGCUGAUCUCUUUUAAGGUGCAUUGCUCGCGAGCUUUCGUUCGCGAACAGGGAUCAUUCGGAAAAAGGAGGGGCUAGUUCGAGGUCCUUUUUUCGCGAUUCCUAGACGAUUCCGUUCUAUAAAUGGAGAAACCUUCGUCCUGCGAAGGGGACAUUCCGAAGCUCGACUGUUGGUUUUUGGUUCGAUUUUGCGCGGUACUAGGGCUUGAAAUGCUAUAGAUAAUGGUACGUGCGUUUGGACGUAGACUGGUUAUAGUUUAGGGGAUAGUUUUUAUAGUUGAGCUUUGGGGUGUAUUUAUGCAAAUGAAUACACGGGGAAAUCUGCGAGAACUUGCACAAAUGCAAAUAUAUAUAAAAUAUUUUCAUAUACACGUGACGCAAUUAACACGAUUCGAUAAUAAUUGAAACUUAGAUGAAAACAUAUCCUAUUUUCUAAAAUGAGGACACACUUUCAUUUAAGUUUUAAUUGUUGUGGAAUUGUGUUAAUUUCAUCGCCAUCGGUAUAGCUUGAGUAUUUCAUUUCUGGUAAUAUGACCACCAGUGAGAGUCUUUGAGAAAUUUAUAAAAACUGAUACAUGCAGUAGGUAUGUAUAUUGCAUAUGCAUGAACUUCUUUUGUUUCUAACCAUUGCUAUUAUCGGGGUGUAACGAUCCCUAUACUUCGCUCGGGAUUGCUCUUAUUAUUGAGAGCUGGAAAGACCAGUCCCGAGGGGUAUAAUGAACUAAAUAGCCUUCUCGACUCCCUGGAUUGCAUUUCCACGAGAUUUUAAUUCGAUCAGUUUUUUGUUUUAUUACAUUCUUUACCGAAGAAUCUUUAUAACUCAUUUUAAGCUAGA
This is a long non-coding RNA of Hylaeus volcanicus, 3379 nucleotides long. RefSeq lists it as uncharacterized. Lineage: Eukaryota; Metazoa; Arthropoda; Insecta; Hymenoptera; Colletidae. The record is from RefSeq and is a predicted model, not a curated record. The transcript is spliced from 3 exons.